Molecule: ribosomal RNA, 253 nt
Filed under: uncultured bacterium
Lineage: Bacteria
Description: partial 16S ribosomal RNA
Rfam family: Bacterial small subunit ribosomal RNA
Source: RNAcentral
UACGUAGGGUGCAAGCGUUGUCCGGAAUUAUUGGGCGUAAAGAGCUCGUAGGUGGCCUGUCGCGUCGGCUGUGAAAACUCGGGGCUCAACUCCGAGCUUGCAGUCGAUACGGGCAGGCUAGAGUUCGGCAGGGGAGACUGGAAUUCCUGGUGUAGCGGUGAAAUGCGCAGAUAUCAGGAGGAACACCGGUGGCGAAGGCGGGUCUCUGGGCCGAUACUGACACUGAGGCGCGAAAGCGUGGGGAGCAAACAGG